UCAGGGGAACCAACCAGGUGAUUGUAGGUUGGAACUUUCAGCCCCUCCCCUCCAGACCUCUGAGCCUAUCAUCAAUGGCAAAUGAUUUAACCAAUUGUGCCUAAGUAACAGAACCUCCCUAAAAACUCUAAGCAAGGACUCUGGAAAGCUUCCAGGCUGGUGAACAAACCAGCAUGCUGGGAUGCUGGUUCAUUUGGAUAGGAACACCUUCCCCUUGGAGUUACACUACCCUGGACACACAAGAACAAUUGAAUCUCAACUUUAAAGCCAGCACAGACUUAGAAUUCUUAGGACAUCCACAAUCUAAACAUCUGUAUAACCAGAGAGGCUCUGAAAUGCCAUUACUCAUUUUGAAAAACAGCCCCGAUUAGUUCCAAUCUUUUGAGCUCACAACAUUUUAAGUUGCAACAUUAAACCGCUGCCCUGUAUGGAACUGCUACCAACUUGCUCUCACCAAAUGUCAAAUACUCUUAAGGAACAGAGGACUUUAAAUUUUCCAUAAAGUUUAAGAUCAAAUAAAGCACAGAAACGAUUGAAAAACAAGUCUAGCACCUAGAAGAAAUGAGGAGAUGGAAAGCUGGUUGAAUUAAGAGGAAGUCUGAGUGAGACACUUGUUAUUCAUGGGAAAAACAUAAUACUAGGUUUUACGGAUGACAGGCUGUAAGUACGUGUUUGAAAGUGCACGUUUGAAAUAGAACUAUCCUACAACCCAGCAACUGCACUAUGAGGACAAAUGGGUUACUUAACUGAUGAUGGUAGGGGGCCAGAGUGAGAAAAGGAAACAUGUCCGAAGUGACCCUGUAUCUUCUUCACUCUGUCCACAGUUUACCGACCAAAGUAUGCGGAAAAGGAAAGCAGUGGUAAACAAGUCCUUCAGCUUUCGAUUAUGCACGACAAGCAGCUGGAAACUCACCAUCAGCAUGAGAGGCAGCUUCAGGACAACUGAGACUUUCCCUGUACUCAAUUUCUACAUGUUGGAUCUAGACAAUGUUUGCAUAUCUCUCAGUCUAAAGAUACAUUCUAUUCUUAUCCGAGUUUAACAGAUGGGGGAAAAUGGGCACAGAGAGACUAUAUAAUUUGCCUAAGGACUCACACAAGUGUCAGACCUGAAUUUGAACCUAGACUCACCCCUAAAGUCCAGAGGCUACACUUUCUAGCUUCAUGAUGAAUACUGAAAAUGUCCCAUUGAUUCAAUUUAUAUUAAACCACUUAUUUAUGUAAUUCAUUUCUUAUUCAUUUUCCAAGUUUUCCCUGCAUGUUAUUAUUUAUCACUAACUCUCUACUCUGUCUUGCUACUGACUUCAAGAACAAAGCCAUCCCUACUCCCUUGGCCUGUAAAAUAAGAACAUUCAUCUCCAUUUCCCUCACUUAUUCUAAUCCUACCCACCCUUCAAGCGCUGGCUUAAUGUCACCACCUGCAGGGACUCCUCCCGGCUACUUGUCAGCAAAGAAGUCUCUCUUCUCCAACUUCCUUUUGGCAAUGGAAACAAAUACCUUACUCACUCUUGCCAAAUAAUUACCUUUAAUAUCUGGAUUCUCAGUUUGACUGCAAUCUCACCUACAAAGUAACUGAUAGUGCCCCUGUAGGCCUAUAGCAAGAGUUCAACAGCUGCACAGCUUCAAAAGAUGACUCUAAUACCUUACAGACUCUUCCCUUUAUUUUUAAAAUGUUUUAUGGUGAAAGAUGCGCCCAUAACCUACUUGUAAUCUGGAAUACACAAAUUAUUCUGAAACCCA
Leopardus geoffroyi (Geoffroy's cat) is the source of this 1737-nucleotide long non-coding RNA. RefSeq lists it as uncharacterized. Lineage: Eukaryota; Metazoa; Chordata; Mammalia; Carnivora; Felidae. The transcript has 6 exons. The record is from RefSeq and is a predicted model, not a curated record.